RNAcentral lists this ribosomal RNA (94 nucleotides) under Clostridiales bacterium. Lineage: Bacteria; Bacillati; Bacillota; Clostridia; Eubacteriales. The record is from RNAcentral.
AACACCCGUUCCCAUACCGAACACGUAGGUUAAGACUAAAGCGGCCGAUGGUACUUGGCUGGAGACGGCCUGGGAGAGUAGGUGGUUGCCAAAU